AGUGAACGCUGGCGGUAGGCCUAACACAUGCAAGUCGAACGGCAGCACAGAGGAGCCUGCUCCUUGGGUGGCGAGUGGCGGACGGGUGAGGAAUACAUCGGAAUCUACUCUGUCGUGGGGGAUAACGUAGGGAAACUUACGCUAAUACCGCAUACGACCUACGGGUGAAAGCAGGGGAUCUUCGGACCUUGCGCGAUUGAAUGAGCCGAUGUCGGAUUAGCUAGUUGGCGGGGUAAAGGCCCACCAAGGCGACGAUCCGUAGCUGGUAUGAGAGGAUGAUCGGCCACACUGGAACUGAGACACGGGCCAGACUCCUACGGGAGGCAGCAGUGGGGGAGAUUGGACAAUGGGCGCAAGCCUGAUCCAGCCAUACCGCGUGGGUGAAGAAGGCCUUCGGGUUGUAAAGCCCUUUUGUUGGGAAAGAAAUCCAUCUGGUUAAUACCCGGGUGGGAUGACGGUACCCAAAGAAUAAGCACCGGCUAACUUCGUGCCAGCCGCCGCCGUAA
Molecule: ribosomal RNA, 506 nt
Filed under: uncultured bacterium
Lineage: Bacteria
Description: partial 16S ribosomal RNA
Rfam family: Bacterial small subunit ribosomal RNA
Source: RNAcentral